GGAUCCACUGUUUUUGAGCAAAGUGAAUAAAGAUUCGAAGGGGCAGGACCAAGGAGAAGGGUCCUUUUACAACAUUUACAACAACAGGCAUUUUCUCUUUUUGACAGGUGAUGGGCAGAGAACUGCUCAGAUAGCUUUGUCAAACACUGUGUUGAGACCUCACUGUGUGAGAGCAGAGCACUGCAGAUAGUUUACAGCACCAGUCUCCUUAGCCAUGGCUAACCCCUGCAGCCUCUGGAAGGACACUGCACCCAGCCUUGGGGGAAGAGCUCAGAUAGAAGCAUGGGUCCAGAGCAAAGGGAAGCACAGUCUUAGGUGAGCUUAUUGCCAUCUUGGUUCUUAGUAAUGGAGAAGGAGUUUUUCCCACCUUUGUAGAAGCUCUCUACCCAAUACAACCUUCACCAGGAUUUGGAGGCCAUCUUUUUAUGUAGGAGGAGUUGGUCCACCCUCAUGGGUGGGGGAUUC
Molecule: long non-coding RNA, 465 nt
Filed under: Castor canadensis (American beaver)
Lineage: Eukaryota; Metazoa; Chordata; Mammalia; Rodentia; Castoridae
Description: lncRNA (ENSCCNG00000009060.1)
Source: RNAcentral